CCCGUAAUCCGGGUUGCGGACAGUGUCUGGUGGGUAGUUUGACUGGGGCGGUCUCCUCCUAAAGAGUAACGGAGGAGCACGAAGGUUGGCUAAUCCUGGUCGGACAUCAGGAGGUUAGUGCAAUGGCAUAAGCCAGCUUGACUGCGAGCGUGACGGCGCGAGCAGGUGCGAAAGCAGGUCAUAGUGAUCCGGUGGUUCUGAAUGGAAGGGCCAUCGCUCAACGGAUAAAAGGUACUCCGGGGAUAACAGGCUGAUACCGCCCAAGAGUUCAUAUCGACGGCGGUGUUUGGCACCUCGAUGUCGGCUCAUCACAUCCUGGGGCUGAAGUAGGUCCCAAGGGUAUGGCUGUUCGCCAUUUAAAGUGGUACGCGAGCUGGGUUUAGAACGUCGUGAGACAGUUCGGUCCCUAUCUGCCGUGGGCGCUGGAGAACUGAGGGGGGCUGCUCCUAGUACGAGAGGACCGGAGUGGACGCAUCACUGGUGUUCGGGUUGUCAUGCCAAUGGCACUGCCCGGUAGCUAAAUGCGGAAGAGAUAAGUGCUGAAAGCAUCUAAGCACGAAACUUGCCCCGAGAUGAGUUCUCCCUGACUCCUUGAGAGUCCUGAAGGAACGUUGAAGACGACGACGUUGAUAGGCCGGGUGUGUAAGC
RNAcentral lists this ribosomal RNA (648 nucleotides) under Escherichia coli. Its description in RNAcentral is "partial 23S ribosomal RNA". It matches the Rfam family "Bacterial large subunit ribosomal RNA", at positions 2232 to 2874 of the family's 2925-position model. Lineage: Bacteria; Pseudomonadati; Pseudomonadota; Gammaproteobacteria; Enterobacterales; Enterobacteriaceae. The record is from RNAcentral.